UUAAGCGACUAAGCGUACACGGUGGAUGCCCUGGCAGUCAGAGGCGAUGAAGGGCGUGCUAAUCUGCGAUAAGCGCCGGUAAGGUGAUAUGAACCGUUAUAACCGGCGAUACCCGAAUGGGGAAACCCAGUGUGACUCGUCACACUAUCAUUAACUGAAUCCAUAGGUUAAUGAGGCGAACCGGGGGAACUGAAACAUCUAAGUACCCCGAGGAAAAGAAAUCAACCGAGAUUCCCCCAGUAGCGGCGAGCGAACGGGGAGGAGCCCAGAGCCUGAAUCAGCAUGUGUGUUAGUGGAAGCGUCUGGAAAGGCGCGCGAUACAGGGUGACAGCCCCGUACACAAAAGCGCAUGUGCUGUGAGCUCGAUGAGUAGGGCGGGACACGUGGUAUCCUGUCUGAAUAUGGGGGGACCAUCCUCCAAGGCUAAAUACUCCUGACUGACCGAUAGUGAACCAGUACCGUGAGGGAAAGGCGAAAAGAACCCCGGCGAGGGGAGUGAAAAAGAACCUGAAACCGUGUACGUACAAGCAGUGGGAGCCCCACCACCAAAGCAUUCUCUGGUGUUGAAGGCCCUGCAAAGCAGCAUCGCGGUGGCGGAGCGUCGUUUGCGACGCCCAACACACAAAACAAGCGGUGAAUGCUUUGGGGUGGGGUGACUGCGUACCUUUUGUAUAAUGGGUCAGCGACUUAUAUUCUGUAGCAAGGUUAACCGAAUAGGGGAGCCGGAGGGAAACCGAGUCUUAAUUGGGCGUUAAGUUGCAGGGUAUAGACCCGAAACCCGGUGAUCUAGCCAUGGGCAGGUUGAAGGUUGGGUAACACUAACUGGAGGACCGAACCGACUAAUGUUGAAAAAUUAGCGGAUGACCUGUGGCUGGGGGUGAAAGGCCAAUCAAACCGGGAGAUAGCUGGUUCUCCCCGAAAGCUAUUUAGGUAGCGCCUCGUGAAUUCAUCUCCGGGGGUAGAGCACUGUUUCGGCUAGGGGGCCAUCCCGGCUUACCAACCCGAUGCAAACUGCGAAUACCGGAGAAUGUUAUCACGGGAGACACACGGCGGGUGCUAACGUCCGUCGUGAAGAGGGAAACAACCCAGACCGCCAGCUAAGGUCCCAAAGUCAUGGUUAAGUGGGAAACGAUGUGGGAAGGCCCAGACAGCCAGGAUGUUGGCUUAGAAGCAGCCAUCAUUUAAAGAAAGCGUAAUAGCUCACUGGUCGAGUCGGCCUGCGCGGAAGAUGUAACGGGGCUAAACCAUGCACCGAAGCUGCGGCAGCGACGCUGAUGCGUUGUUGGGUAGGGGAGCGUUCUGUAAGCCUGCGAAGGUGACCUGUGAGGGUUGCUGGAGGUAUCAGAAGUGCGAAUGCUGACAUAAGUAACGAUAAAGCGGGUGAAAAGCCCGCUCGCCGGAAGACCAAGGGUUCCUGUCCAACGUUAAUCGGGGCAGGGUGAGUCGACCCCUAAGGCGAGGCCGAAAGGCGUAGUCGAUGGGAAACGGGUUAAUAUUCCCGUACUUGGUGUUACUGCGAAGGGGGGACGGAGAAGGCUAUGUUGGCCGGGCGACGGUUGUCCCGGUUUAAGCGUGUAGGUGUGUGUUCCAGGUAAAUCCGGUUCACUUUAACACUGAGGCGUGAUGACGAGGCACUACGGUGCUGAAGCAACAAAUGCCCUGCUUCCAGGAAAAGCCUCUAAGCAUCAGGUAACAUCAAAUCGUACCCCAAACCGACACAGGUGGUCAGGUAGAGAAUACCAAGGCGCUUGAGAGAACUCGGGUGAAGGAACUAGGCAAAAUGGUGCCGUAACUUCGGGAGAAGGCACGCUGACACGUAGGUGAAGUGAUUUACUCACGGAGCUGAAGUCAGUCGAAGAUACCAGCUGGCUGCAACUGUUUAUUAAAAACACAGCACUGUGCAAACACGAAAGUGGACGUAUACGGUGUGACGCCUGCCCGGUGCCGGAAGGUUAAUUGAUGGGGUCAGCGCAAGCGAAGCUCCUGAUCGAAGCCCCGGUAAACGGCGGCCGUAACUAUAACGGUCCUAAGGUAGCGAAAUUCCUUGUCGGGUAAGUUCCGACCUGCACGAAUGGCGUAAUGAUGGCCAGGCUGUCUCCACCCGAGACUCAGUGAAAUUGAACUCGCUGUGAAGAUGCAGUGUACCCGCGGCAAGACGGAAAGACCCCGUGAACCUUUACUAUAGCUUGACACUGAACAUUGAGCCUUGAUGUGUAGGAUAGGUGGGAGGCUUUGAAGUGUGGACGCCAGUCUGCAUGGAGCCGACCUUGAAAUACCACCCUUUAAUGUUUGAUGUUCUAACGUGGACCCGUAAUCCGGGUUGCGGACAGUGUCUGGUGGGUAGUUUGACUGGGGCGGUCUCCUCCUAAAGAGUAACGGAGGAGCACGAAGGUUGGCUAAUCCUGGUCGGACAUCAGGAGGUUAGUGCAAUGGCAUAAGCCAGCUUGACUGCGAGCGUGACGGCGCGAGCAGGUGCGAAAGCAGGUCAUAGUGAUCCGGUGGUUCUGAAUGGAAGGGCCAUCGCUCAACGGAUAAAAGGUACUCCGGGAUAACAGGCUGAUACCGCCCAAGAGUUCAUAUCGACGGCGGUGUUUGGCACCUCGAUGUCGGCUCAUCACAUCCUGGGGCUGAAGUAGGUCCCAAGGGUAUGGCUGUUCGCCAUUUAAAGUGGUACGCGAGCUGGGUUUAGAACGUCGUGAGACAGUUCGGUCCCUAUCUGCCGUGGGCGCUGGAGAACUGAGGGGGGCUGCUCCCUAGUACGAGAGGACCGGAGUGGACGCAUCACUGGUGUUCGGGUUGUCAUGCCAAUGGCACUGCCCGGUAGCUAAAUGCGGAAGAGAUAAGUGCUGAAAGCAUCUAAGCACGAAACUUGCCCCGAGAUGAGUUCUCCCUGAGACUUUAGGUCUCCUGAAGGAACGUUGAAGACGACGACGUUGAUAGGCCGGGUGUGUAAGCGCAGCGAUGCGUUGAGCUAACCGGUACUAAUGAACCGUGAGGCUUAACCUU
RNAcentral lists this ribosomal RNA (3006 nucleotides) under Salmonella enterica subsp. enterica. RNAcentral's name for it is "bacterial LSU rRNA". It matches the Rfam family "Bacterial large subunit ribosomal RNA". Lineage: Bacteria; Pseudomonadati; Pseudomonadota; Gammaproteobacteria; Enterobacterales; Enterobacteriaceae. The record is from RNAcentral.